RNAcentral lists this ribosomal RNA (1037 nucleotides) under Bacillus sonorensis. RNAcentral describes it as "bacterial SSU rRNA". It matches the Rfam family "Bacterial small subunit ribosomal RNA", at positions 293 to 1331 of the family's 1533-position model. The record is from RNAcentral. Lineage: Bacteria; Bacillati; Bacillota; Bacilli; Caryophanales; Bacillaceae.
UGAGAGGGUGAUCGCACACUSGGACUGAGACACSGCCCAGACUCUACGGGAGCAGCAGUAGGAAUCUUCCGCAAUGRACGAAAGUYUGACGRAGCAACGCCGCGUGAGUGAUGAAGGUUUUCGGAUCGUAAACUCUGUKUAGGGAAGAACMAGUACCGUUCGAAUAGGGCGGUACCUUGACGGUACCUAACCAGAAAGCCACGGCUAACUACGUGCCAGCAGCCGCGGUAAUACGUAGGUGGCAAGCGUUGUCCGGAAUUAUUGGGCGUAAAGCGCGCGCAGGCGGUUUCUUAAGUCUGAUGUAAAGCCCCCGGCUCAACCGGGGAGGGUCAUUGGAAACUGGGGAACUUGAGUGCAGAAGAGGAGAGUGGAAUUCCACGUGUAGCGGUGAAAUGCGUAGAGAUGUGGAGGAACACCAGUGGCGAAGGCGACUCUCUGGUCUGUAACUGACGCUGAGGCGCGAAAGCGUGGGGAGCGAACAGGAUUAGAUACCCUGGUAGUCCACGCCGUAAACGAUGAGUGCUAAGUGUUAGAGGGUUUCCGCCCUUUAGUGCUGCAGCAAACGCAUUAAGCACUCCGCCUGGGGAGUACGGUCGCAAGACUGAAACUCAAAGGRAUUGACGGGGGCCCGCACAAGCGGUGGAGCAUGUGGUUUAAUUCGAAGCAACGCGAAGAACCUUACCAGGUCUUGACAUCCUCUGACAACCCUAGAGAUAGGGCUUCCCCUUCGGGGGCAGAGUGACAGGUGGUGCAUGGUUGUCGUCAGCUCGUGUCGUGAGAUGUUGGGKUAAGUCCCGCAMCGAGCGCMACCCUUGAUCYUAGUUGCCAGCAUUCAGUUGGGCACUCUAAGGUGACUGCCGGUGACAAACCGGAGGAAGGUGGGGAUGACGUCAAAUCAUCAUGCCCCUUAUGACCUGGGCUACACACGUGCUACAAUGGGCAGAACAAAGGGCAGCGAAGCCGCGAGGCUAAGCCAAUCCCACAAAUCUGUUCUCAGUUCGGAUCGCAGUCUGCAACUCGACUGCGUGAAGCUGGAA